GGGGGUGUGGCUCAGUUGCCAGAGUGCUUGCCUGCUAUGCAUGAGGCCCUGGGCUCAAUCCCCAGCAUUACUG
Molecule: transfer RNA, 73 nt
Filed under: Neotoma lepida (desert woodrat)
Lineage: Eukaryota; Metazoa; Chordata; Mammalia; Rodentia; Cricetidae
Rfam family: tRNA
About the family: Transfer RNA (tRNA) molecules are approximately 80 nucleotides in length. Their secondary structure includes four short double-helical elements and three loops (D, anti-codon, and T loops). Further hydrogen bonds mediate the characteristic L-shaped molecular structure. tRNAs have two regions of fundamental functional importance: the anti-codon, which is responsible for specific mRNA codon recognition, and the 3' end, to which the tRNAs corresponding amino acid is attached (by aminoacyl-tRNA synthetases). tRNAs cope with the degeneracy of the genetic code in two manners: having more than one tRNA (with a specific anti-codon) for a particular amino acid; and 'wobble' base-pairing, i.e. permitting non-standard base-pairing at the 3rd anti-codon position.
Source: Rfam by way of RNAcentral